GGGGCUGACUGGUUUCGACAGCAGGGCCAAUGGGUAAGUAAGCAUGCAGAGAACCGUAGCGCGAUCUCUUUAAUCCCUUGCUACAAAAUUUUAGCUGGCAACCAAGAGUUUGCUCUUGCUGCUUAAUAACCGAAGUAUAGUAGGUUCAAGCAUUUUCCCGAAUAAUAGUAGGGAAGCAGGAUAUUCCACAAAAGCCCUGUCCUGCGGCGUUUGAGUAUGGGAUAUAGAAAUGCGGGAAUAAGACUUCAGUAACUUCGCCUGAGGUACGAAAAUCUUAGAAGUUAAGGUAAAAGUUGUGUGCUUUCUCACUGCUUUUUCCCGACAAUAAAUAGAAAGCUAAGCAUGUAGAAGGCUUACGUAUUGCCUGUAUGGACGAGGGUUCGAAUCCCUCCAGCUCCACUA
RNAcentral lists this transfer-messenger RNA (402 nucleotides) under Elizabethkingia argenteiflava. Its description in RNAcentral is "Standard tmRNA". It matches the Rfam family "transfer-messenger RNA". Rfam says of the family: Bacterial tmRNA, also known as 10Sa RNA or SsrA, is named for its dual tRNA and mRNA-like properties. Its role is to liberate the mRNA from a stalled ribosome. Lineage: Bacteria; Pseudomonadati; Bacteroidota; Flavobacteriia; Flavobacteriales; Weeksellaceae. The record is from Rfam by way of RNAcentral.